Molecule: non-coding RNA, 283 nt
Organism: Cyanistes caeruleus (blue tit)
Lineage: Eukaryota; Metazoa; Chordata; Aves; Passeriformes; Paridae
Source: RefSeq, a predicted model, not a curated record
CCAUUGCUCUGACAGCUUUGCAUCACACGAGCCCGUUCCCAGCACACCGCCUGAGCUUUCUGCUUUUGCAGAAGUGCCACUGCUGUGUUCCUGAGGCAGUGCAGUCUGGAGCUGAUGGAUGAAGAAUCGCCCCUCUGCACUUCCAAACCAGAGCAAAAAGCUAAAUCAUGCUAUGAAAAAGAAGUGUCCUUUGCUCCUGGUUCCUGUGUGGAGCAGCUCCCUUCCCGCUGGCUGAGCUGCUCAGGCAGAGCCCAGCAGCUCCUGGCCCUGCAGGGCUGAGGCU